AAGCAUCAUUGUGUGUGGAGGUCAGAUCCACAUCACGCAGUGAAGUUACACCAGCAGCACAUCCUAGUCAAGUAAUAACUGAGAUGCUUGAGGUAAGCUAGUAAAAGGUUUCUUAGCAUAUGUGCUUGUUGGUUCAUUGCUUACUAUUGUUAUUGUAUGAUCAUAUGGGCCUAUUCUUCUAUAUCAUAGUUAGGCUUUUGCUCAGUAAAUAUUUUUUGAUGGGGCUAGUCCAGUAUUUUGAAUAAAUGUUUAUGGAAAUUAGUGUGAGACAUUUUGUAGUGAAUCACAUAUAGUGGCAAUAUAGUGGCGUUUUGUAUGUGGGCCAGAUAGGUUGCGUACACAACAGGAACACACAAAAGCCCCUGCUCAUCAAUGCGCCCAGGAAGGUAAGCAGUUUGGAUACUCUCUUAGAGAUUAGUCAGAUUACAGCAGUAGUGGCCAGUGGGAGUCCUAUAGUAGUACAUUAGUUGUGUCAGCCCUAUAGAAGUUGUAUCUCCUGUGAGCCAAAGCAAUUAAAAUAAACUUCUCAAUUUUACCUUUGUAUUUAUAUGUUCCUCCUAGCCAAACUCUACGAACAUCCUUCUCAGCCUCUCUAUUUCUCCCCCUUUGCUAUGCACCAAUUAGUUAAGUCGUUGCCAUCCGACCUCCUCUCAAUGAUGUUUGCCCUCCAUGUGCUAUAAGGUACACAACAAGCGAGCACAGGAUGCUCGUUACAGGUUUAGAAAUCAUUUGCAUAAUUAAUGAAUAUUAUUGAAUGAAAACAUAAUAUAGACCCAACAGCAGUCGAUUGUAUAAGAAAAAUAAAGCUUGUGAUGAGACAUGUGGGCUGUAGUUUAAAUUGGUUGAUCAGGUUUGACUGUUUGAUAAAAACAUGAGUUGGUGAGGGUCAUAUGACGGCACAGAAAGGUAAUUCAAGGCCCAGAAGCAUAUUUAGUAUACUUGUUAAGUUUAAACUUGGAUCUCUAUUUUAUCUUGGUGUGAUAUAAAUGUUGUAAUACGAUAUGUGCGCUGAUCUUGGGACUUGUCUUGAGGCGCAUAUGGGGACUACCGGAAUUGCUUUUGUUUUAAUUGAUAGGUGGCUGCAUUGGAUUGUCAUUAGAUUUAAUUUAACAUGUGUCUUGCCCUCGUGUGAGAGUAUGUUAGCUCUCAUCUAGGUGGAGCUGGCCCGCUCGAUUAAAAAGUGCAAUUUGGACGGUUCUUACAGCUUUGGUUUCGUGUCCUGCAGAAGUCAAGGUGUGAGCGCAGGUUUCAGUACGAUUAAGAUUUGAUUAUUGUUUCCCAAAAACAAUAGAAGAACUAGAAAGCGCUCCACGUUUCAUUAAGGAUUUUCUGUUCUAUGAUUGACAUGCUGGCAUCCUAACAUAACAAUACGGGAAACGUCAAUCGUCAAGUGGUUAGAUAUAGGUUACAAACGAAGUCUCGAUUAGGCUAAACACUGACUAGAGGUACCAACACGCUAGGUGCGCUAGUUUAAACCGGGGUCGAAUGUUCGUACAGGACGUUGUGUAAAGUGUCUUUUUUAAGGUGUAAUAUGACAAAUGCCGAACUCUACCGUUCGGACAUAACAGAUUUGGCCCAAAUUUGUUGCGAUGUACCCAUUAAGCCCAUAUCUUAAGAAACAACUCCGUCACGGACCAGAAAAGACUUUCUGGGCCUAUAUAAGCCCAAGUGUUC
Molecule: long non-coding RNA, 1674 nt
Organism: Phragmites australis (common reed)
Lineage: Eukaryota; Viridiplantae; Streptophyta; Magnoliopsida; Poales; Poaceae
Exons: 2
Source: RefSeq, a predicted model, not a curated record